UACGUAGGGUGCGAGCGUUAAUCGGAAUUACUGGGCGUAAAGCGUGCGCAGGCGGCUUGAUAAGUCAGAUGUGAAAUCCCCGAGCUCAACUUGGGAACUGCGUUUGGAACUGUCAGACUAGAGUGCGUCAGAGGGGGGUGGAAUUCCGCGUGUAGCAGUGAAAUGCGUAGAGAUGCGGAGGAACACCGAUGGCGAAGGCAGCCCCCUGGGAUGACACUGACGCUCAUGCACGAAAGCGUGGGGAGCAAACAGG
Molecule: ribosomal RNA, 253 nt
Filed under: uncultured bacterium
Lineage: Bacteria
Description: partial 16S ribosomal RNA
Rfam family: Bacterial small subunit ribosomal RNA
Source: RNAcentral